GAUGAACGCUGGCGGCGUGCCUAAUACAUGCAAGUCGAGCGAACGGACGAGAAGCUUGCUUCUCUGAUGUUAGCGGCGGACGGGUGAGUAACACGUGGAUAACCUACCUAUAAGACUGGGAUAACUUCGGGAAACCGGAGCUAAUACCGGAUAAUAUUUUGAACCGCAUGGUUCAAAAGUGAAAGACGGUCUUGCUGUCACUUAUAGAUGGAUCCGCGCUGCAUUAGCUAGUUGGUAAGGUAACGGCUUACCAAGGCAACGAUGCAUAGCCGACCUGAGAGGGUGAUCGGCCACACUGGAACUGAGACACGGUCCAGACUCCUACGGGAGGCAGCAGUAGGGAAUCUUCCGCAAUGGGCGAAAGCCUGACGGAGCAACGCCGCGUGAGUGAUGAAGGUCUUCGGAUCGUAAAACUCUGUUAUUAGGGAAGAACAUAUGUGUAAGUAACUGUGCACAUCUUGACGGUACCUAAUCAGAAAGCCACGGCUAACUACGUGCCAGCAGCCGCGGUAAUACGUAGGUGGCAAGCGUUAUCCGGAAUUAUUGGGCGUAAAGCGCGCGUAGGCGGUUUUUUAAGUCUGAUGUGAAAGCCCACGGCUCAACCGUGGAGGGUCAUUGGAAACUGGAAAACUUGAGUGCAGAAGAGGAAAGUGGAAUUCCAUGUGUAGCGGUGAAAUGCGCAAAGAUAUGGAGGAACACCAGUGGCGAAGGCGACUUUCUGGUCUGUAACUGACGCUGAUGUGCGAAAGCGUGGGGAUCAAACAGGAUUAGAUACCCUGGUAGUCCACGCCGUAAACGAUGAGUGCUAAGUGUUAGGGGGUUUCCGCCCCUUAUUGCUGCAGCUAACGCAUUAAGCACUCCGCCUGGGGAGUACGACCGCAAGGUUGAAACUCAAAGGAAUUGACGGGGACCCGCACAAGCGGUGGAGCAUGUGGUUUAAUUCAAAGCAACGCGAAGAACCUUACCAAAUCUUGACAUCCUUUGACAACUCUAGAGAUAGAGCUUUCCCCUUCGGGGGACAAAGUGACAGGUGGUGCAUGGUUGUCGUCAGCUCGUGUCGUGAGAUGUUGGGUUAAGUCCCGCAACGAGCGCAACCCUUAAGCUUAGUUGCCAUCAUUAAGUUGGGCACUCUAACUUGACUGCCCGUGACAAACCGGAGGAAGGUGGGGAUGACGUCAAAUCAUCAUGCCCCUUAUGAUUUGGGCUACACACGUGCUACAAUGGACAAUACAAAGGGCAGCGAAACCGCGAGGUCAAGCAAAUCCCAUAAAGUUGUUCUCAGUUCGGAUUGUAGUCUGCAACUCGACUACAUGAAGCUGGAAUCGCUAGUAAUCGUAGAUCAGCAUGCUACGGGUGAUACGUUCCCGGGUCU
Molecule: ribosomal RNA, 1372 nt
Filed under: uncultured bacterium
Lineage: Bacteria
Description: bacterial SSU rRNA
Rfam family: Bacterial small subunit ribosomal RNA
Source: RNAcentral